RNAcentral lists this ribosomal RNA (507 nucleotides) under uncultured bacterium. Its description in RNAcentral is "partial 16S ribosomal RNA". The record is from RNAcentral.
GGAGUUAGCCGGUGCUUCUUCUGUGAGUGAUGUCCUUCCUGCCGGCUAUUAACCCGCAGGCCUUCUUCCUCACUGAAAGUGCUUUACAACCCGAAGGCCUUCUUCACACACGCGGCAUGGCUGGAUCAGGGUUGCCCCCAUUGUCCAAUAUUCCCCACUGCUGCCUCCCGUAGGAGUCUGGGCCGUGUCUCAGUCCCAGUGUGGCUGAUCAUCCUCUCAGACCAGCUACGGAUCGUCGCCUUGGUGAGCCGUUACCUCACCAACCAGCUAAUCCGACAUAGGCUCAUCCGAUAGCGCGAGGCCCGAAGGUCCCCCGCUUUCCCCCGUAGGGCGUAUGCGGUAUUAGCCUGGGUUUCCCCAGGUUAUCCCCCACUACCGGGCAGAUUCCUAUGAAUUACUCACCCGUCCGCCGCUCGCCACCAGGGAGCAAGCUCCCCGUGCUGCCGCUCGACUUGCAUGUGUUAGGCCUGCCGCCAGCGUUCAAUCUGAGCCAGAAUCAAACUCUGA